Molecule: transfer RNA, 74 nt
Filed under: Methanobacteriota archaeon
Lineage: Archaea; Methanobacteriati; Methanobacteriota
Description: Euryarchaeota archaeon tRNA-Thr
Rfam family: tRNA
About the family: Transfer RNA (tRNA) molecules are approximately 80 nucleotides in length. Their secondary structure includes four short double-helical elements and three loops (D, anti-codon, and T loops).
Source: RNAcentral
GCCGCCUUAGCUCAGUUGGUCAGAGCAGCUGAUUUGUAAUCAGCAGGUCGUCGGUUCGAAUCCGACAGGCGGCU